This 2062-nucleotide long non-coding RNA is filed under the name Mus musculus (house mouse). RNAcentral describes it as "long non-coding RNA chr14:111730518-111732580". The record is from RNAcentral. Lineage: Eukaryota; Metazoa; Chordata; Mammalia; Rodentia; Muridae.
UUGUGAUUAUAAAAGCUGGACUAUAACUAUCUAUAAAGUUUUCUCUUGAAGAAAAUAUGUAAUAAACCCUAUAAUAAUGACAUAUUGAUAUUCUCUUUAGCUGUGUUUCCACAAAUCUAUGACUUCACUACACAAAUGAGAUAUUUAUACAAAUUGGUAGUCAUCUGUUUUCUCUUUUAAUGUGCAUUCACCCAUUUCAUAGAGGAUUCUGUGUCUUGCAAAUUCUGUGACUUGUUAUAGGCAAAUAGAAUGUAUGCACAAGUAAACUGUGGCAAUUUAAAUGGUAUAAGGGCUACCUCAUAAUUUGUUAUAAUUUCUCUUUCUGGCCAUUGUUAAUCUGAACACAUUUGUUAUAUUGAGCUCCUAUAGGUCAUGAGAACCGAAUGGCUAUAAUGAGUCUAGUAUCUAAUGUCUUAGUCCAGUAACUUUGUAAGAUUAAAAUACCAAUUUUAUUUGUGGUGCAUAAAAGAGUAUGAGUAAUGGAUAGUCUAGUUUGAGAAAAGUGCUUGGAGACUUUAAGUGUCAGCAUGUAUGCAGUGUGUAGCAGAACAGACUAAUGGACCAUGUGCCCAGAAGUAACAAUACAGCCCAAACUUCAGGUGUUGUGACAUCUUGAUGUGAGUCCAAAAAUACUGCUGGCUUCUAGCAUGUGAAGAUUACAUUUCAAGCCUUCAGUACUAUAUGAGAAACUAGUUUUCAAAAGAUUACCAAAGAUAUGCUACUAAAAAAAAUUAACGUUUUUAUCUAUUUUCUGUAUUUCUUCAAUUUUUCAUACUAGUCCAUUCUAUAGGAAGCAAUCUCAUUUGACAUGAAAUUUCAUUAUCAAUCUCAGCUUAUUAGUAGAUUCCUUUAUUGUCUGUGUUUAUUAAAAGUAACAUUCUAUUUAUUGUUUCUGAAAAAAUUUACAUCUGAAACUUUUCUGUCAGCACUACAAGAUAUUAAUUAUUGUUUUUAACCAAGCCAUUCUUGUGUCUCAAUGUGUAGUCACACUAUGUUUUCUUUUACAUCCAUUUUUUUUCUUUUUAUAUUUGAACACGGACAUUCAUAACAUACUUUUCAGCUACAUGAAAAUUCAUUGAGCUAUAUUUUCAUUAUUCAUUCAUCUAAUGGUGAGGAUCUAGUCUGAUUAAACGCUCUUUUAAUAUGAAAGACCUGCUGUAAACUGAGGAUAUGCAGGGUUGAAGAUGGAGUCCAUUGGGUGAUGCCCAAGAGUGGUACAGCUAGGUCUCAUGCACCUUUCACAUUUAGCUUUAAGAGAAACCUCCAAACUAAUUUGCAAAGUGUAUUUUAGAAUAACACCAUCUGGGGUCUAACUUGAACAUUCCAUUCCCCUGCCCUGUAAAUUGGAAUUGGGGGUAAUUAAUCUAUCAGGGACAUUGUUUUCUCAAAUUUAAAUUGAGAAUGUAAAAGAAAUUUUAUUGUUAAAAAUUAUGGCUGUGAAAGAAUUUUGGAGCUUGUCACUUUUCAUGUAAAUGUAUGUUAUACUCAUUAUGUGCCGAGCUUAAAUUUUUAGUAACUAUAUAUUCUGUUUCUAAUUCCGAUCUUUGAAUUCAGAAUCCCCCAAUUCUCCUCUCAAAAAAUCUCGCAUGAUUGUCAUGUUCUCUCAUUUUUUCAAAUGAAUUUAAAGCUAGUGAAUAUAUGAGGCUAUAAUUUUAGAUAAAAGCACAAAGCUUUACUGGUAAAAGAUGUUAAUUCUUGCCACUAAGCCAUUUUAUGUAGGUUCCUGCAUAUCCAGUCACAAAGAUGCACCUAUUGCUAUGUUAGAGUUUAAAAGAUUUCAUACACUGUUACAAAGUAUGAACUAAAUAUGUCUGCAAUACCUUGUGAAGUAACACUCACUUAUUCAUGUUUGUUUGUUUGUUUGUUUUUAUUUCGCUGUAUUUUAUUUUAUUUUAUUAUUGCUUUCCCAUAUCUCUUUGUAUUUCAAUAAGAAAGAGAAAGACAGAGUGAGGAAUCAGAAGGGUUAGAUGCUAGGGAGGAUCUAGGAAAACAUAUUGUAUGAAAAUUUUUAUAAUAAAAAAUGUCUUCUGUAAGUUUACUCUAAAUAAAUCUAUAGGACAUC